RNAcentral lists this ribosomal RNA (319 nucleotides) under uncultured Ehrlichia sp. RNAcentral describes it as "bacterial SSU rRNA". It matches the Rfam family "Bacterial small subunit ribosomal RNA", at positions 46 to 375 of the family's 1533-position model. The record is from RNAcentral. Lineage: Bacteria; Pseudomonadati; Pseudomonadota; Alphaproteobacteria; Rickettsiales; Anaplasmataceae.
GCUUAACACAUGCAAGUCGAACGGAUUUUUAUCAUAGCUUGCUAUGAUAAAGGUUAGUGGCAGACGGGUGAGUAAUGCAUAGGAAUCUACCUGGUAGUAUGGGAUAGCCACUAGAAAUGGUGGGUAAUACUGUAUAAUCCCUGCGGGGGAAAGAUUUAUCGCUAUUAGAUGAGCCUAUGUCAGAUUAGCUAGUUGGUGGGGUAAUGGCCUACCAAGGCGGUGAUCUGUAGCUGGUCUGAGAGGAUGAUCAGCCACACUGGAACUGAGACACGGUCCAGACUCCUACGGGAGGCAGCAGUGGGGAAUAUUGGACAAUGGG